CUCGGUUUUCGCAUAUUUUCGAUUAUUCGGCGGCCGCCAAGGCGUCGCUUGAGACGCCGGUCGGCCGCUUACGCCCAUUAUUCCUCCGUUGGCUCCUCAUAUUUUCAACCACGAUGUCAAAUUAAAUUCCCAAAAUUAUAUAAGCACUUAAUUGAAUUAUCGCAAGUAUUUUCCCUCGCGAUUAUAUUUAUUUCGAAACUUGGGGUAAAUUAUUUGUACAUCGAAUUAUUCCGAGAAUUAAUUAAAUAAUUCUCCAUAAUGAAUUUAAUUAUUAACUCAAAGAUUUAUUUAAUUAUCGGCCCAAGGAUUUAAUUAAUUUGGUCCAAGAAUUAAAAAGUGGCCCACAACGAAUCACCCACCUUCUCCUUAAUAUUUAAAAGGCCCACCCUUAUUUCUCCAAUUAAAAUCUGAGCCCGAACAAAACAAAACAUGAGUGGCCCAAAGCAGAAAGAGAUCCCCUACUCCCUCCAUCUCGGUCAAGGUCAACAACCCGUUCUCUCCUUCACCAUUUCAAUUUUCUCUCAACAUCCCCAAAUCCCGUCGCUUCCCCCUCCCCAACCUCACAACACCAGAAUCGACGGCCGUCAAUCGUCGUCUCUGAUUCAGACAGCAGCGGGGCUAGCCGUGCGUCGCCGUCGCUGUUGUUCGCCCCCUACCGCUGAUGCGUUGCUGCUGUCACACCGGCGAAAAAUCAGCUCGGUCCGCCCUGCCGUAACUCCUGCCGCUGCUGUGCAGUCUCCUCGCCGGGAAGGUAUGACGCUGCAGCGAGAGGGGUGGUCGCCGUUCGGUCUCUGCCGUCGGGCUCCUCCGCCGCAACCGUCGCCGUUGUCCAGAUCAAGCAGCAGCAGCAGCCGCGGCCAACGCUUGGCAAUGCGUACUCGUCCGGACAGCCCCGAUUUGCCCGAACAACCCCGAUUCACCCCGAAAGAUAAGUUUCCUUUACCAAGUUCUUUCGCAUUUCGAUUUAACCGUGGGAGUGUUCAAUUGUGUUAAGUGCUUGAGUUAUGCGAUUAGUUUGGAUGAUGGUAUGCUUAUGCGUAAACUGAUGAUUGAAACUUGAAAUUGGGAGGGAGUAUACCUUCAAUUGACAGAUUGUGAACUCAGAUGAAUCCCUCGGCUUCUAUUUCAAUUGUCAGUUUCUCCUCAACCGUGAAUUCAAGAAUUGGUAGCAUGGAAUUAAAAUAUGGAGAUUUUUGGUAGAAUGAGGAAACUGAUUUGUGAAGGGAAUAUUAUAGAGGGAGAAGGUAGUUGAAUAGAUUUAAUUAGAUUAAUUUGUUUUUUUAGGGUGUUACAUAUGUAUAAGUAAAAAUUAUUUGCAGUGUAAAGUGAACGAGGAGAAAUAAUAUUUUUUAAACUAAUCAAGUGAAUUGUAAGAUUAUACUAA
Salvia splendens (bonfire salvia) is the source of this 1384-nucleotide long non-coding RNA. RefSeq lists it as uncharacterized. The record is from RefSeq and is a predicted model, not a curated record. The transcript is spliced from 2 exons. Lineage: Eukaryota; Viridiplantae; Streptophyta; Magnoliopsida; Lamiales; Lamiaceae.